AGAGUGCAUCGACGCGAUGCCAUAGAGAAAGGAAUUCAACAAGAGGGGGCACUCGGCGAAAACUGGCAACAGGAAACACGUCAGGGCUAGUGUUAACCCCAUCCGCUAGUGGGUGCGAGCAGCGAAAAAAGAAAGUGAAAUGAAGUUACAGACGUUAUAUUUGUUUCUAUUCUUUCCCGCUAAAACUAAAGAGCUUUGCGCAUAGCUGAGCUUAUACUUUGCGUCUUAUUUUUCUUGCGUCACCUAGCAACAAGCUAGCGGCACGCAAGGCCGCAAGGCGCGACAGAUGCAUGCGUCAUGCGCCAGAAAGGCCACCGAAGCCAGCGAGGACGUUUGCGCACGUGAAGUUCGCCUGUUCGGCGACCCAUUUCUUUUGGAUGUAGCGUGUUUGUUGGGCUCCCGGAGUAUUCUUGCGUUCCUUCAGCGCUUUGAUACGGCACCACUGAACUUUUGGACUACAGCAAGCUUAUGCCGUCCGGCGCAACUUCGUGCGGGAACUACUGCUGCUUACUUGGUGCCACCACGUUGGACCAACGCACACAAAGCCCAGAACGAGCCAUUUGUAUAAAGCAAAAUAAAAAUUUCCUCAUUUACAA
This is a long non-coding RNA of Dermacentor andersoni, 596 nucleotides long. RefSeq lists it as uncharacterized. Lineage: Eukaryota; Metazoa; Arthropoda; Arachnida; Ixodida; Ixodidae. The record is from RefSeq and is a predicted model, not a curated record.